GCAUAUCAAUAAGCGGAGGAAAAGAAACCAACAGGGAUUGCCCUAGUAACGGCGAAGUGAAGCGGCAACAGCUCAAAUUUGAAAUCUGGCGCAAGCCCGAGUUGUAAUUUGUAGAGGAUGCUUCUGGGUAGCGACCGAUCUAAGUUCCUUGGAACAGGACGUCAUAGAGGGUGAGAAUCCCGUAUGUGACCGGCCCGCACCCUUUACGUAGCUCCUUCGACGAGUCGAGUUGUUUGGGAAUGCAGCUCUAAAUGGGAGGUAAAUUUCUUCUAAAGCUAAAUACCGGCCAGAGACCGAUAGCGCACAAGUAGAGUGAUCGAAAGAUGAAAAGUACUUUGGAAAGAGAGUUAAAAAGCACGUGAAAUUGUUGAAAGGGAAGCGCCUGCAACCAGACUUCGCGGCAGUGUUCCGCCGGUCUUCUGACCGGUUCAUUCUCUGUCGCGAGGCCAUCAUCGUCUGGGCCCGCCGGAUAAGACCUGAGGAAUGUGGCUCCCCCUCGGGGGAGUGUUAUAGCCUCUGGUGAUGCGGCGUGGCUCGGGCGAGGUCCGCGCUUCGGCAAGGAUGAUGGCGUAAUGGUUGUCGGCGGCCCGUCUUGAAACACGGACCAAGGAGUCUAACAUCUAUGCGAGUGUUCGGGUGUCAAACCCCUACGCGUAAUGAAAGUGAACGGAGGUGGGAACCGCAAGGUGCACCAUCGACCGAUCCUGAUGUCCUCGGAUGGAUUUGAGUAAGAGCAUAGCUGUUGGGACCCGAAAGAUGGUGAACUAUGCCUGAAUAGGGUGAAGCCAGAGGAAACUCUGGUGGAGGCUCGCAGCGGUUUCUGACGUGCAAAUCGAUCGUCAAAUUUGGGUAUAGGGGGCGAAAGACUAAUCGAACCAUCUAGUAGCUGGUUCCUGCCGA
This 900-nucleotide ribosomal RNA is filed under the name Cercospora fagopyri. Its description in RNAcentral is "LSU rRNA". It matches the Rfam family "Eukaryotic large subunit ribosomal RNA", at positions 38 to 964 of the family's 3401-position model. Lineage: Eukaryota; Fungi; Ascomycota; Dothideomycetes; Mycosphaerellales; Mycosphaerellaceae. The record is from RNAcentral.